Molecule: ribosomal RNA, 502 nt
Filed under: uncultured bacterium
Lineage: Bacteria
Description: bacterial SSU rRNA
Rfam family: Bacterial small subunit ribosomal RNA
Source: RNAcentral
CGAAAGCCUGAUGCAGCGAGCCGCGUGGGGGAUGAAGGCUUUAGGGUCGAAACCCCUUUUGCCAGGGAAGAGAUCUGACGGUACCUGGCGAAUAAGCCACGGCUACUACGUGCCAGCAGCCGCGGUAAUACGUAGGUGGCAAGCGUUGUCCGGAUUUACUGGGCGUAAAGCGCGUGUAGGUGGUUUGGAAAGUCCGGGGUGAAAUCUUGCGGCUCAACUGCAAGAGGUCCUUGGAUACUUCCAGACUUGAGGGAGGCAGAGGAAGGUGGAAUUCCCGGUGUAGUGGUGAAAUGCGUAGAUAUCGGGAGGAACACCAGUGGCGAAGGCGGCCUUCUGGGCCUUUCCUGACGCUGAGGCGCGAAAGCGUGGGUAGCAAACCGGAUUAGAUACCCGGGUAGUCCACGCCCUAAACGAUGAGCACUAGGUGUGGGGGGUAUCGACCCCCUCCGUGCCGAAGCUAACGCGAUAAGUGCUCCGCCUGGGGACUACGGCCGCAAGGCUA